GGGCGCAUAGCUCAGUGGUAGAGCACCAAUCUUAUAAGUUGGCCGUCCGUGGUUCGAAUCCACGUGCGCCCA
RNAcentral lists this transfer RNA (72 nucleotides) under candidate division CPR3 bacterium GWF2_35_18. RNAcentral describes it as "tRNA-Ile". It matches the Rfam family "tRNA". From Rfam's summary of the family: Transfer RNA (tRNA) molecules are approximately 80 nucleotides in length. Their secondary structure includes four short double-helical elements and three loops (D, anti-codon, and T loops). RNAcentral also lists the same sequence under 3 other names. Lineage: Bacteria; candidate division CPR3. The record is from RNAcentral.